AGAGUUUGAUCAUGGCUCAGGACGAACGCUGGCGGCGUGCUUAACACAUGCAAGUCGAACGGAAAGGCCCUUCGGGGUACUCGAGUGGCGAACGGGUGAGUAACACGUGGGUGAUCUGCCCUGCACUUUGGGAUAAGCCUGGGAAACUGGGUCUAAUACCGAAUAGGACCACGCGCUUCAUGGUGUGUGGUGGAAAGCUUUUGCGGUGUGGGAUGGGCCCGCGGCCUAUCAGCUUGUUGGUGGGAUAAUGGCCUACCAAGGCGACGACGGGUAGCCGGCCUGAGAGGGUGACCGGCCACACUGGGACUGAGAUACGGCCCAGACUCCUACGGGAGGCAGCAGUGGGGAAUAUUGCACAAUGGGCGCAAGCCUGAUGCAGCGACGCCGCGUGAGGGAUGACGGCCUUCGGGUUGUAAACCUCUUUCAAUAGGGACGAAGCGCAAGUGACGGUACCUAUAGAAGAAGCACCGGCCAACUACGUGCCAGCAGCUGCGGUAAUACGUAGGGUGCGAGCGUUGUCCGGAAUUACUGGGCGUAAAGAGCUCGUAGGUGGUUUGUCGCGUUGUUCGUGAAAACUCACAGCUUAACUGUGGGCGUGCGGGCGAUACGGGCAGACUAGAGUACUGCAGGGGAGACUGGAAUUCCUGGUGUAGCGGUGGAAUGCGCAGAUAUCAGGAGGAACACCGGUGGCGAAGGCGGGUCUCUGGGCAGUAACUGACGCUGAGGAGCGAAAGCGUGGGGAGCGAACAGGAUUAGAUACCCUGGUAGUCC
This 771-nucleotide ribosomal RNA is filed under the name uncultured bacterium. RNAcentral's name for it is "bacterial SSU rRNA". It matches the Rfam family "Bacterial small subunit ribosomal RNA", at positions 8 to 796 of the family's 1533-position model. The record is from RNAcentral.